UGACCUGCGGAGGUCAUU
RNAcentral lists this ribosomal RNA (18 nucleotides) under Symmetrospora coprosmae. Its description in RNAcentral is "partial 18S ribosomal RNA". The record is from RNAcentral. Lineage: Eukaryota; Fungi; Basidiomycota; Cystobasidiomycetes; Symmetrosporaceae.